GUUAAUAUAUUUUCUUAUGAUUUUUUUUCUUCUUAGCUCUUUGAGAUGCUGAAUAUUAUUUUUUAAUUAUUGAUUUCUUUUAAUAAUUCUUUUUCAAUAAAUAAUAUAAUCAAUCAAUUUAAUCAUUACUCUAGAUGUCCCAAUUUUCUAAUAAUUCUCUCCUUUUAUAUGAAAAAAAUAAUCCUUGUUAUAAAUAGUACUUACCCAAUACUUUCUUAAAAAACACUAUAAUAAAAAAUGAGGCCCCUCAAAUUUGGAGCCCUAAGGUAGUUGCCUUUAUUCUAAACCUAUCGAACUGGCCCUAGUUGUGGGGGUUGGGCGAGGGCUGGAGCAAGGGUGGUCGAUAAGGGUGGGGAUGGUACAUCGUACUAUUAGGGUGUGGGGAGAAAAUGAUUAUGAUGAAAUUUCAUUUAUGAAGCUUAUUUUUGUAUUCUCGUUAUGAAAGUCAUUUUUUAUAAUUUUCAAAACCUAACUUAGAGAAAGUAUUUUUCAAAACAUUUUGAUCAACCUGGCAUAAGAAAAUUAUAAAUAUUUUUUGUACCAAACAUACACUUAGUGAAUAUAACUCUAAAAGAUUUAGCGUGUGCUUGGUACGGAGGAAAAUAUUUUUCAUUUUCUCAUGUUCUCAUGUUUGGAUUGAUCAAAAUGUUUGAAAUUUUUUUUCUCGGAAAUUAAGUUCUUUAAACGAUCAGUAAAUCAUUUCCUCAAGAUGUUGAAAAAAGAAGUUCUAUAAGUGGCAUUCCACAUUGAUUGUCUCCUCUCAUCCUCCAAGAUUCAACACAUCUCAUUUUCACCCUAUCCUCAUAGACUCCAUCCCCACCUCUCAUUGUAUUUGUGUCUAGAUUAUGUAUAAAUAAUAUUAGGAUAAUCUUUUAGCAUACCUAACUCACAUAAUAUAAAAGUUACAAGUACGAAAUCUACUUAUUUUCUAAGAAACAUUUUCCUUUGGCUACCCAACGC
This 960-nucleotide long non-coding RNA is filed under the name Solanum tuberosum (potato). RNAcentral describes it as "long non-coding RNA (STUB_LNC006291)". The record is from RNAcentral. Lineage: Eukaryota; Viridiplantae; Streptophyta; Magnoliopsida; Solanales; Solanaceae.